Molecule: ribosomal RNA, 255 nt
Filed under: uncultured bacterium
Lineage: Bacteria
Description: partial 16S ribosomal RNA
Rfam family: Bacterial small subunit ribosomal RNA
Source: RNAcentral
UACGUAGGCAGCAAGCGUUGUUCGGAAUUACUGGGCGUAAAGAGUGUGUAGGCGGUGCUCUAAGUUCGGUGUGAAAUCUCCUGGCUCAACUGGGAGGGUGCGCCGAAAACUGGAAUGCUCGAGGCGUGGGAGAGGAAAGCGGAAUUCCUGGUGUAGCGGUGAAAUGCGUAGAUAUCAGGAGGAACACCUGUGGUGUAGACGGCUUUUCUGGACCAUUGCUGACGUGAGACACGAAAGCCGUGGGUAGCAAACAGG